CCUACGGGUGGCAGCAGUAGGGAAUUUUGCUCAAUGGAGGCAACCCUGACCCAGCAACGCCGCGUGCAGGAUGAAGCCCUUCUGGGUGUAAAAAUGUUUUAGUGGGGACGAAAACUGACGCUACCCACAGAUAAUGCACCUGCUGACUCAGUGCCAGCAGCCUCGGUAAGACGGGGGGUGCAAGCGUUGUCCGGAUGGAUGGGGGGUAAAGGGUUCGUAGGUGGCACGUGAAGUCUGGGGUGAAAGGCGGAAGCUCAACUUGGGUAGGGCAGUGGAUACUGGCGAGAUUGAAUGCGGUAGAGGUAAAGGGAAUUCCUGGUGUAGCGGUGAAAUGCGUAGAUAUCAGGAGGAACAUCGGUGGCGAAGGCGCUUUACUGGGGCGUAAUUGACACUGAGGAACGAAAGCGUGGGUAUCGAACAGGAUUAGAUACCCCUGUAGUC
RNAcentral lists this ribosomal RNA (441 nucleotides) under uncultured bacterium. RNAcentral describes it as "partial 16S ribosomal RNA". It matches the Rfam family "Bacterial small subunit ribosomal RNA", at positions 338 to 795 of the family's 1533-position model. The record is from RNAcentral.